AGUGAACGCUGGCGGUAGGCCUAACACAUGCAAGUCGAACGGCAGCACAGUAAGAGCUUGCUCUUACGGGUGGCGAGUGGCGGACGGGUGAGGAAUACAUCGGAAUCUACUUUUUCGUGGGGGAUAACGUAGGGAAACUUACGCUAAUACCGCAUACGACCUACGGGUGAAAGCAGGGGAUCCUCGGACCUUGCGCGAUUGAAUGAGCCGAUGUCGGAUUAGCUAGUUGGCGGGGUAAAGGCCCACCAAGGCGACGAUCCGUAGCUGGUCUGAGAGGAUGAUCAGCCACACUGGAACUGAGACACGGUCCAGACUCCUACGGGAGGCAGCAGUGGGGAAUAUUGGACAAUGGGCGCAAGCCUGAUCCAGCCAUACCGCGUGGGUGAAGAAGGCCUUCGGGUUGUAAAGCCCUUUUGUUGGGAAAGAAAAGCAGCAGGUUAAUACCCCGCUGUUCUGACGGUACCCAAAGAAUAAACACCGGCUAACUUCGU
RNAcentral lists this ribosomal RNA (491 nucleotides) under uncultured bacterium. RNAcentral's name for it is "partial 16S ribosomal RNA". It matches the Rfam family "Bacterial small subunit ribosomal RNA", at positions 29 to 506 of the family's 1533-position model. The record is from RNAcentral.